Numida meleagris (helmeted guineafowl) is the source of this 2527-nucleotide long non-coding RNA. RefSeq lists it as uncharacterized. The record is from RefSeq and is a predicted model, not a curated record. NCBI's taxonomy places the organism in Eukaryota, Metazoa, Chordata, Aves, Galliformes, Numididae. The transcript is spliced from 4 exons.
AACAGGGGUGGUUGUGGGAGGUUCUUCAGGGCUGAGAUGUAACGUUGAACCAGAUUUGUGUUUGGAAGCUCAAUUUUGCUUUUAGGAAUAUAAGUGAGGAGAAUGAUUUGCCAAAUGGAGUGAGCAUCCAGAUGAUCUUGUUCUGUAGACAAGAUCCUUUAACGUGUUUAUGUCAGGAGGAGGAACAUUUAUUCAUCUUAGAGGUGUUGGGAAAGGGAAGUGCAGAUGAGGGCUGCCACAGGCUGCUCCAAACCUCCAGAGUCUUGCAGGGAAGGAAUUCAUCAGUCCCUUAGCACCCUGUGCUGCAGCCUUCUGUAGCUGUUGGUCCAGUGCAAAAAGGAUGAGAAAUACAAUUCCCAUUGGGGCAGGGGAGCAGCAACACUCAGAGGAAAGUUCAGGUGGGAUCUGCGGUCCUGUGCAACUGUGGGUACGCAGUAAGGAGGGCGGCUGCCCUUCCUUCCCUUGGUGCCUACAGCUGGCUCGUGUUGUCGGACUCGCAGCUGAUGCCCCUUGGCCGAUCAUGCAUUGCUGAUCACCAUUCAAGAGUCGCUGUCCAUUAUGAAGAGCUCCUGAGGAAACCCGGCUGUGCCCUCCGCUAAUCUCACCCCUCCGAGCUGGGUGCCCCACGAUGGGACGGGACCGUCCGCACGGCCCGGGGCUGCCUGGCUGCGGGUGAGCGGGGCCCGGACGCGCUUCGGCCCUGGGAACGGUGUCAGCUCUUCGGGUUUGACAUUUUGAUAAGCAAAUGAGAGUGAAGAAAGGAAAAUACCCGAGUAUACCGCUGUGCUUGGAAAUAUAUUGCCUGCCUGGGUUAUUAUCUUUCUCUUAUUACACAAACCAGCCUAGACUCUUCCGCUGUACAGUUGUACAGCUAGCCCGAAAAUCCCUGAAUUUUUGGGAAAGUAGCUCAGUUGUUGUUUCCCUUUGCUUCUGGCUGCCUAUUGGUGAAGUUUACUAUUGGCAGUUAACAUGGCUUGCAUGCCAUUUGUCUGAUACUGGUAGCAAAGCUUAGACUGAAGGCAGUGCAGCUGCUUUCAGACUUCUGCUCCCUUCCAAGGCUGCUCAGUCUUUCACUACUUCCUACAUGAGAACUUUUUAUUUCUAUUUGUUAUGAGGGCUGCAACCAACUCUGGGGCCAGCCCUCUAGAAACAGGGCUGUGAUGCAGAGGGGGUGAAGGUGCUCAUUUGAAAGCUUCACGUGGUGCCAUUUCCUUCUGAUGCCUGGUGACCACUUCAUCUCAACAUACAGCUGUGCUUAUUUGUAGCCUUUUAUAGACACUUUUAUAUUACCUAUGGGUUUUUUUGCUAUCAUGGAAUUGGAUCUCAAGAAGCUUAAAUUGGUGGGAUUACCUGUUAAUUCUUGGAUUUGAAUGCACUGUUGACAGUGCCAGUAGUUGUUAUUCUGAAAAGCUGCGAUGUGGCGGAGUCAGAGUGUUUUGUUCUGAAGUCUUUAACACAACAUACUUCAUUUGACUUUCCUAAGUCAACCAGAAGUGUUUUGUUUCUGGGUAGCUUGGCUAUUAAGCAUCACUUCUUGUGGGCUUGUCCUUGUGCUUCGGAUAUGGGGGAAUGGGCACAGCCAGGCUGUGUUUCCCAUUGGGCUUUGCAGGAACGGGGCCUGGAUUUACCUACAUCUCUUAAAUUACAGCAGUGAGACUGAUCAGAGAAAUGCACCUCAAUGCACGCCCAGUGCCUGAGCAGAGCAUUUGCAUUUUCUAAACGUUGCUUUGUUUUAGUGCUCUACCUGCGUUUUUAAUUGGGAAAUAUUCCCUGUAGUUCUAUGUAGUGUCUGCAGGGCUAUGGGGGCUUGGUCCCUGUUAGAAGUAAAGACUCGUCCUCUUUUGAAAGAAUAUCAAAUGUCAUAAUUGAGAUCUUGGUAUUGAUGUAUUAAGUGCAAAAAUGACUUAGGUCAAUAACUGUGGGUUCAGAACUGUAAUGCUCUCAAACUUUCCUCUUUUUGCACAGAAAGGACUCAAAAUGCCAUUUCUAUCAGUCAGUGAAAGCCUAGUUUAAUUGGCUCCAGUCAAGAUGCUGAAUUGUUCUGCGUAAUCUGAAUUAAACAUUGGUUUGACUACAUAUGUGGCUUUAUCUUCCUUGAAGACAUAGGGUGCUCAGAGUCAGACAGUAGCAUCAGCUUUGAAGUUAAGUUAUUCAUAGCUCAAGGAUUGAUUCUGACAUUAACACUGUUUCCCUAUACUUCUCCCUGCAAAUGCAUCGCACCAACCCAUUCUUUCAUUUCCUGCUUUAAUAUUAAUUUUAAAUGUCUGCAGUUUCAUGGGGGGGUGGGAAAGGCCCACAAACCUCUCCUUCUGCUCUACAAAUGAGACUGAAAACCCAAAAUUAGAGGGAUGAAGAGCGACUGUUAACUUUUGUACGGAAUAACUUCUCCCUCGUGUUUGUAAACUAACAUCUAUUAUCUGCCUCAUUGCAGAGAGGGCUGUUGUGUCACUGCAGUACCAGUAUUCUUCUUGGGCACUGCACACCCUUCUGAUUAACGCCAUAUAUGCCUGAUAACUUAGGGUCACUC